This 450-nucleotide ribosomal RNA is filed under the name uncultured bacterium. RNAcentral's name for it is "partial 16S ribosomal RNA". It matches the Rfam family "Bacterial small subunit ribosomal RNA", at positions 354 to 796 of the family's 1533-position model. The record is from RNAcentral.
GUGGGGAAUUUUGGACAAUGGGCGCAAGCCUGAUCCAGCAAUGCCGCGUGCAGGAAGAAGGCCUUCGGGUUGUAAACUGCUUUUGUACGGAACGAAACGGUCCUGGUUAAUACCUGGGGCUAAUGACGGUACCGUAAGAAUAAGCACCGGCUAACUACGUGCCAGCAGCCGCGGUAAUACGUAGGGUGCAAGCGUUAAUCGGAAUUACUGGACGUAAAGCGUGCGCAGGCGGUUUUGUAAGACAGGCGUGAAAUCCCCGGGCUCAACCUGGGAAUUGCGCUUGUGACUGCAAGGCUGGAGGGCGGCAGAGGGGGAUGGAAUUCCGCGUGUAGCAGUGAAAUGCGUAGAUAUGCGGAGGAACACCGAUGGCGAAGGCAAUCCCCUGGGCCUGCACUGACGCUCAUGCACGAAAGCGUGGGGAGCAAACAGGAUUAGAUACCCCGGUAGUCC